RNAcentral lists this ribosomal RNA (165 nucleotides) under uncultured bacterium. RNAcentral's name for it is "partial 16S rRNA". It matches the Rfam family "Bacterial small subunit ribosomal RNA", at positions 355 to 511 of the family's 1533-position model. The record is from RNAcentral.
UAGGGAAUCUUCCACAAUGGACGCAAGUCUGAUGGAGCAACGCCGCGUGAGUGAAGAAGGUCUUCGGAUCGUAAACUCUGUUGUUAGAGAAGAACACGAGUGAGAGUAACUGUUCUAUUCGAUGACGGUAUACUAACCAGCAAGUCACGGCUAACUACGUGCCAG